UUGGAUUUGCAAGGCAGACCUAGGAGAGAAUCAACUCCAGUGUGCAACACUGCCAAGGAGGCAGAGGAGCCUGGAAUGAGUUUGAUACAACUCCAAGGAGGGCAAAACGUGCAUAAGAAAAGGAUUGAGUUGGAGCCCUUGAGCUGCAGAUUUGACACCUCUAUGCCAAGG
Monodelphis domestica (gray short-tailed opossum) is the source of this 171-nucleotide long non-coding RNA. RefSeq lists it as uncharacterized. The record is from RefSeq and is a predicted model, not a curated record. Lineage: Eukaryota; Metazoa; Chordata; Mammalia; Didelphimorphia; Didelphidae.